UGAGCGAGAACUUCAAGUAGUGCCUUCCAAAUCAUUGCCCCAGAAUUUGCAAUCCUUCCUAAGUUUACAAUCUUGCUUAAUAUUUCAUGUGUUUUCUGUAUUCAUUACAUAAUUAUAGUAAAAUGCAAUUAUUUUGGCUUAGAACCAGUUGACAGAGUUGAUACAAGGAGAUUAUAACUAUGGUCCAAGAUAAGAGUUCCUGCUCCAUUUAUGGGACAUUCUUAAGUUUGCAUUUGGAAGGCUGGAGCCAGUGGUGACAAGACCCAACACCUAAGCUGGCCCACACCCGAGGCUGAUGUUCAAAAUAUAUUAAUAUAACUCCCCAGGUGCUUAUCAGUCAAAACACAAGCCAGCCAAAAACAACCUUAUGAACACACAACCCCGAUACAUGUAUAUUUACUUUAAAAUUAUAUACAUGUACUACCAUCAACCCAUAUGUUAAAUAUCAGUAAGAUUAUUUUUUCUCAUAAAAACAAAUGCAAAUAGAAGUUGUACCAUUUCCUUUCCCAAGGGAUUGGCAUGUGCUCCCCAACCAUGAACAAUGACCCUCUCAUGUUAAUGUAUAACAUAAAAAUUAAUGGAGACAAAAAAUGUAUUGUUAAUUUCCAUGCUGCUCAUACAGUGUGCCUUACUCCAUGCACUUGGACCUGAAAAUUUAGUGUAAACCAAAUUUUAGCAAAAGAAACUAUAUUGUAAACACAAUGAGGGAAACUGGCUAUUUAUAGGAAUCUUCUUUAGGCAUCUCUUUUGUAAAGUAAAUAAAUACUUUGUAAUUAAAUCAGUUCAAUACAGAUUCAUUUUCUAAGCUCCUAAAAUAAAUUUUUUUUAAAAAAAAAUAAUCACCCCUAGGCCGGGCAUGGUGACUCACACCUGUAAUCCCAACACUUUGGGAGACCAAGGCAGGUGGAUCACCUUAGGUCACCUUAGGCCAGCCAACAUGGUGAAACCCCAUCUCUACUAACCACACACACACACACACACACACACACACACACACACACAAGAAUUAGUUAAGUGUGGUGGCGGGCACCUGUAAUCCCAACUACUUGGGAGGCUGAGGCAGGAGAAUUGCUUGAACCCAGGAGGCAGAAGUUGCAGUGAGCUGAGAUCAUGCCACUGCACUCCAGCCUGGGCGACGGAGCACGACUCUGUCUCAAAUAAUAAUUAUAAUUAUUAUUAUUAUUUAUAAUUGAUAAUAACCACUAAAAUGAAGCCAACAGCCAAGACACUCAAAAAAACAAAUUAUAUUUCACGCCCACUUGCAAUCUAAUUAUUUCACUAUCUAUCACUAUAGAAUUGGAAGAAGUUAUUCUCAUGAACACCCUGAAGGAAACUUUCCAUUAUGGUAUGAAUAAUUAGUGAGUUCUUUUGAAAAAAUGGUGCAGGCCUGGUAGACAGGUACAAUGUUUCAAAAAUCCAAAGGAUGGAUACAGCCAGGUGCAAACAAACUUUUCUCUCUUCUCUAGACACUGGCCCCAGUUUCCCACUUCCGGCCUCUGUUUACGCUGGUUCUCACCAGAAACACCGCUCCCAGACCCAUCCCUCUCUCACCCAGACGACUGCACGUAAGCAGGUACCCACGCAUGAGUGUGCACAUACACAGACACACACACUCCAACAUACACACACACACACACUCCGACUCAGUCACCCAAAUCCUGCCGACUUUCAAAGCCCAUCUCAAACACAGUCACGGAUCACACAACUGUAUUUUGGUCAACAAUGGACCAAAAUAUAUUUAUACAAUGGUGGUCCCCUAAGAUGACAAUAUGGUUAUUUUUACUGUGCUUUUUCUAAGUUUAGAUCUGUUUAGAUACAGAAAUACUCACCAUUGUGUUACAAUUGCCUACAGUAUUUAGUACAGUAACAUGCUGUACAGGUUUCUAGUCUAGGAGUAACAGGCUCUACCACGUAGCCCAGGUGUAUAGUAGGCUAUGCCAUCUAAGUUUGUGUAAGCACACUCUAUGAUGGUCACACAAAUUGCCUACCAACACAUUUCUUAGAAUCCUCCCUCGAUCUGUCCCAACUGAGACCAGAAAUUGUGAAAAUCAAUUCAUCUGACAUAUCAUAUCCUUUUCUCUGAACCACACUUAGUUAGAAAACAAAUUUAAAAGUGCUGUCUUGCUUUAGUCCUCCUACUAAAUGCCGACCACAUUAAGAUCACAGACUUUAUUUUUAUACAUUUCCCACAGCACUUAGUUCAUUGUUUUGUAAACAGCUGAUCAAUCUUUGUUUGGCAAAUGAACAGAAAAACACCUUAGCAUCAAAUAACCUUCCAUCGCUGGUAACAGCCCAGGUGGUUUAUGUAGUUUCUUUUUUUUUAUUUUUUUUUUUGAGACAGAGUCUCACUCUGUCGCUAAGGCUGGAGUACAGUGGCACCGUGUCAGCUCACUGCAAUCUCCGUCUCCUGGGUUCAAGCAAUUCUCCUGCCUCAGCCUCCAGAGUAGCUGGGAUUAUAGGCGUCCACCACCGUAGUUUCUGAAACUAUUAUCUUUAAAGUGUAAAGUAGGUCAGGAAAUCACUGAUGAAAAUUAAAUAACCAUGUUAUGUAAAAGCCUCAGACUGUGCAGGCGAAUUUGAAAGUUUAUGUUCCACUCUUGAGCUUGUCAUCAUAACACCUUCCUGACGGAGUUUAUGAUAUGAGUCAGCUCUCCCGCCCAACAGUCCAUCUGAGGGUCCAGGCCAAUGAGGACAGCAUCAGACACUGCAGGUGGGGCCAUAAUUGGAGCCCCUCCAUGGGAAAACUGUCACUUCCCACCUCCCAUGGCAACCUUGGCCUUUGGAGUUGCCAAGAAAGCCAGGCAGGACUUGGCUAUUCAAACCCCACAACAACCAGCUUUAAAAAGUCACAAUUCUAGGCCGUU
RNAcentral lists this long non-coding RNA (2864 nucleotides) under Homo sapiens (human). RNAcentral describes it as "non-protein coding lnc-WDR11-6:1". The record is from RNAcentral. Lineage: Eukaryota; Metazoa; Chordata; Mammalia; Primates; Hominidae.